GAAACAUCUGCGCACGCGCACAAGUUACCGCCAGGGCAAAGGCUUACAGACCGUCAACGGUGGGAAAAUGCGGCUGUACAAGAAAAGUGGGCCCAGUGUUGGUUGGAGAGUACUGUUUGUGGCUUGUAAGAAUCUUAAAACCCCUACAGACAUUGGACAGAAAGAUGGACUGAGGGACGGCUGGAAUAUCACCCAGGCCAUGGAACAAAAAGAAGAUUCGCCCAGCCAGUUUGACUGCAGUAACUGAGCUCAGGGAAACAUGAGAGGACAAAGCUUUUAGCAGCUUAAGGAUGGCUUCCCUCACCUGCAUGGAGAGCUCCUU
Long non-coding RNA from Polypterus senegalus (gray bichir), 322 nucleotides. RefSeq lists it as uncharacterized. Lineage: Eukaryota; Metazoa; Chordata; Cladistia; Polypteriformes; Polypteridae. The record is from RefSeq and is a predicted model, not a curated record. The transcript is spliced from 4 exons.